Long non-coding RNA from Patella vulgata (common limpet), 296 nucleotides. RefSeq lists it as uncharacterized. The transcript has 3 exons. The record is from RefSeq and is a predicted model, not a curated record. Lineage: Eukaryota; Metazoa; Mollusca; Gastropoda; Patellidae.
GGAAAAGACAUUGUAGCAGAUCAUUUAAUAUUGCAGCGAUACCCAUCCAUGUUGUUCUCUGUGAGGCGACCCUUAUUUAUCUUGAAGUUACGAUGCGCUGUGUGAUUAUUAUCUGUCUUUUGGUGUUGGUGGGUGCAUGUUCUGCACGUUCAUUUGGAAAUGAAGACGGCAUGAAUGUAAAAAGACUAGUUCCAGGUGUCAAUAUUAACUGUAAAAGUUAUGGUCAGAUGUGUGGAGGAGGUAGAGGCUGCUGUGGUGGAAUGUACUGUGGACAAUACAAUAUUUGUCAAUACCGC